AACGAACGCUGGCGGCAGGCCUAACACAUGCAAGUCGAGCGAGGACUUCGGUUCUAGCGGCGGACGGGUGAGUAACGCGUGGGAAUGUGCCCUUCUCUACGGAAUAGCCCUGGGAAACUGGGAGUAAUACCGUAUACGCCCUAUUGGGGAAAGAUUUAUCGGAGAAGGAUCAGCCCGCGUUGGAUUAGGUAGUUGGUGGGGUAAUGGCCUACCAAGCCGACGAUCCAUAGCUGGUUUGAGAGGAUGAUCAGCCACACUGGGACUGAGACACGGCCCAGACUCCUACGGGAGGCAGCAGUGGGGAAUCUUAGACAAUGGGGGCAACCCUGAUCUAGCCAUGCCGCGUGAGUGAUGAAGGACUUAGGGUUGUAAAGCUCUUUCAGCUGGGAAGAUAAUGACGGUACCAGCAGAAGAAGCCCCGGCUAACUCCGUG
Molecule: ribosomal RNA, 433 nt
Filed under: uncultured bacterium
Lineage: Bacteria
Description: partial 16S ribosomal RNA
Rfam family: Bacterial small subunit ribosomal RNA
Source: RNAcentral